This 433-nucleotide ribosomal RNA is filed under the name uncultured bacterium. RNAcentral describes it as "partial 16S ribosomal RNA". It matches the Rfam family "Bacterial small subunit ribosomal RNA", at positions 29 to 507 of the family's 1533-position model. The record is from RNAcentral.
AACGAACGCUGGCGGCAGGCCUAACACAUGCAAGUCGAGCGCGCCCUUCGGGGUGAGCGGCGGACGGGUGAGUAACGCGUGGGAACGUGCCCUUUUCUACGGAAUAGCCUCGGGAAACUGAGAGUAAUACCGUAUACGCCCUUUGGGGGAAAGAUUUAUCGGAAAAGGAUCGGCCCGCGUUGGAUUAGGUAGUUGGUGGGGUAAUGGCCUACCAAGCCGACGAUCCAUAGCUGGUUUGAGAGGAUGAUCAGCCACACUGGGACUGAGACACGGCCCAGACUCCUACAGGAGGCAGCAGUGGGGAAUCUUAGACAAUGGGGGCAACCCUGAUCUAGCCAUGCCGCGUGAGUGAUGAAGGCCUUAGGGUUGUAAAGCUCUUUCAGCUGGGAAGAUAAUGACGGUACCGGCAGAAGAAGCCCCGGCUAACUCCGUG